RNAcentral lists this ribosomal RNA (253 nucleotides) under uncultured bacterium. RNAcentral describes it as "partial 16S ribosomal RNA". It matches the Rfam family "Bacterial small subunit ribosomal RNA", at positions 524 to 776 of the family's 1533-position model. The record is from RNAcentral.
UACGUAGGGGGCAAGCGUUGUCCGGAUUUAUUGGGCGUAAAGAGCUCGUAGGCGGUUUGUCGCGUCGGAUGUGAAAACCCGGGGCUCAACCCCGGGCCUGCAUUCGAUACGGGCAGACUAGAGUUCGGUAGGGGAGUCUGGAAUUCCUGGUGUAGCGGUGAAAUGCGCAGAUAUCAGGAGGAACACCGGUGGCGAAGGCGGGACUCUGGGCCGAUACUGACGCUGAGGAGCGAAAGCGUGGGGAGCAAACAGG